RNAcentral lists this long non-coding RNA (359 nucleotides) under Manihot esculenta (cassava). RNAcentral's name for it is "long non-coding RNA (MESC_LNC000909)". The record is from RNAcentral. Lineage: Eukaryota; Viridiplantae; Streptophyta; Magnoliopsida; Malpighiales; Euphorbiaceae.
GACCUGUAUAUGGCAAAAGGAAGAAUUUUCAAGUUCAAUAUAAGAUCUUCACUGCAUGAAAAACAUAAAGUCAUCGUGAUGGAACAAUCCACAUGCCAUCAAAAGUUGGGCACUCUAGCUCCCAAGGUAUUGGUGCAUUUGCAGCUUUGUUAGUUUAAUUGAAAUAAUUAUCUAAAUACUCACAGACACUGCUAUUCGUGAUCCUUUGUACCAGGACCUAUUUUCUUUUCUGUUCUCCAAGAAAUUAAGAACAUCCUGUGACAGGGGAAAAGAAAGAUCUUAAGUUUAAUAAAAUCAAGUCCAUACAUACCAUGAUCUGUAAAAUUUAAAUUGAUCCAUCGUCACUAUGCUCUACCUGC